This 279-nucleotide ribosomal RNA is filed under the name uncultured eukaryote. Its description in RNAcentral is "partial 18S ribosomal RNA". It matches the Rfam family "Eukaryotic small subunit ribosomal RNA", at positions 6 to 286 of the family's 1831-position model. The record is from RNAcentral.
GGUUGAUCCUGCCAGUAGUCAUACGCUUGUCUCAAAGAUUAAGCCAUGCAUGUGUAAGAAUAAAUAAUUUUAUCUUGAAUCUGCGAAUGGCUCAUUAUAUCAGUUAUAAUCUACAUGAUAACUAAAUACUACUUGGAUAACCGUAGUAAUUCUAGAGCUAAUACAUGCAUAAAAUCCCGACUUCUGGAAGGGAUGUAUUUAUUAGAAUAAAACCAAUUCGUUUUCGGACGAUAUUGUGGUGAGUCAUAAUAACUUAUCGGAUCGCAGUGACUUUAUUGU